Molecule: small nucleolar RNA, 72 nt
Organism: Vicugna pacos (alpaca)
Lineage: Eukaryota; Metazoa; Chordata; Mammalia; Artiodactyla; Camelidae
Source: Ensembl
UAGACCAGUGAUGUUGACUGGUGGCAUAGGAGUCAUAUACGAAUGUGAUGUGUCUGUAACUCUGAUGCCACA